RNAcentral lists this transfer RNA (70 nucleotides) under Ictidomys tridecemlineatus (thirteen-lined ground squirrel). RNAcentral describes it as "Spermophilus tridecemlineatus (thirteen-lined ground squirrel) tRNA". It matches the Rfam family "tRNA". From Rfam's summary of the family: Transfer RNA (tRNA) molecules are approximately 80 nucleotides in length. Their secondary structure includes four short double-helical elements and three loops (D, anti-codon, and T loops). Lineage: Eukaryota; Metazoa; Chordata; Mammalia; Rodentia; Sciuridae. The record is from Rfam by way of RNAcentral.
UGGGAUGAUGCUCAGUGGUAGAGCACAUGGUUAAGAUGCAUGAGAACCUGGGUUCAAUCCCUAGCACCAA